CCUACGGGAGGCAGCAGUGGGGAAUAUUGGGCAAUGGAGGAAACUCUGACCCAGCAACGCCGCGUGAAUGAUGAAGGUCUUCGGAUUGUAAAGUUCUUUUCUAAGGGAAGAAGAAAGUGACGGUAUCUUAGGAAUAAGCCUCGGCUAACUACGUGCCAGCAGCCGCGGUAAUACGUAGGAGGCAAGCGUUAUCCGGAAUGACUGGGCGUAAAGGGUGCGUAGGUGGUUUGACAAGUUGGUAGCGUAACUCCGAGGCUUAACCUCGGCACUACUACCAAAACUGUUGGACUCGAGUGCAGGAGGGGCAAAAGGAAGUCCUAUUGGAGCGGUGGAAUGCGUAGAUAUUAGGAGGAACACCAGUGGCGAAGGCGAUUUGCUGGACUGUAACUGACACUGAGGCACGAAAGCGUGGGGAGCAAACAGGAUUAGAUACCCGAGUAGUC
Molecule: ribosomal RNA, 443 nt
Filed under: uncultured bacterium
Lineage: Bacteria
Description: partial 16S ribosomal RNA
Rfam family: Bacterial small subunit ribosomal RNA
Source: RNAcentral